This 421-nucleotide ribosomal RNA is filed under the name Ostorhinchus ventrifasciatus. RNAcentral's name for it is "partial 12S rRNA". It matches the Rfam family "Bacterial small subunit ribosomal RNA", at positions 915 to 1533 of the family's 1533-position model. The record is from RNAcentral. Lineage: Eukaryota; Metazoa; Chordata; Actinopteri; Kurtiformes; Apogonidae.
GGCGCUUCACACCCACCUAGAGGAGCCUGUUCUAGAACCGAUAACCCCCGUUCAACCUCACCUUCUCUUGUUCUUACCGCCUAUAUACCGCCGUCGUCAGCCCACCCUGUGAAGGCCCACUAGUGAGCUAAAUUGGCAGAGCCCAAAACGUCAGGCCGAGGUGUAGCGAAUGAGAAGGGAAGAAAUGGGCUACAAUUGCUCCUACAGCUAAUACGGAUUGCAACGCUGAAAAUGCACACAUGAAGGAGGAUUUAGAAGUAAGGGGAGAAUAGAGCGCCCCCCUGAAAUGGCUCUGAAGCGUGCACACACCGCCCGUCACUCUCCCCAAGUAAAACAUUUUACAGUAACUAAACACUUUUCCUUACAAAGGGGAGACAAGUCGUAACAUGGUAAGUGUACCGGAAGGUGCACUUGGAAGAAA